GGUUACUCUGUACAUUCUGAACUGGCCAUACGAUUCUCCUUUUCAUGUGUUGUUUGUGACAAUGCAGGUGAUUUCAAGAGUCAUGAGUGAAACAUCAAGUGGAAGCUUUUGUUCCAACGACAGCACCCUGCAGAGUCUGAUCGUGACGCUGCCUUUCGGUGGAGUUGGUGCCAGUGGAAUUGGUGCCUACCAUGGACGCUACAGCUUUGAUACAUUCUCUCAUAGGAAGUCAUGUCUGCUAAGAAGCACGCACUUGGAAUGUGUCACCUCCCUGCGCUACCCACCUUACGAUGACCGCAAUUUAUCGCUCAUAACGUGGGGCAGUAGCCUCUCCUGGAAAAGCCAGGGCUGGUGUCACAUCCUGUGAUUUGUGCGGAAGGGUCUAACUGGAACCUAACUUUCAAUUCAGAACUCAAUGUGUAAUUGUGCCAAUAUGACAAAAUGACGGCUGAAAUACAAUGAGAAAGGAGGGUAAAUUGAUUGAGACGAAGUUGCCAUAGCUGUCAAUGAUUGCCUUGACUGAUGACUGACAGAGAGGAUACAUUUCAAUACUUGAAUGAUGCAAGUGGAUGUUAGUUUUGCAAAGCUGUGCAUUCUCACUGAAAGCUUUCUAUAAAGAAGAUUCACCCGAACAGAUGUUUUGAUCUCAUGUAUAAUUAAUAUAAAAUAUGCACAUGACUGUACAGCCCAAA
Molecule: long non-coding RNA, 692 nt
Organism: Hippocampus comes (tiger tail seahorse)
Lineage: Eukaryota; Metazoa; Chordata; Actinopteri; Syngnathiformes; Syngnathidae
Exons: 2
Source: RefSeq, a predicted model, not a curated record